This is a non-coding RNA of Callithrix jacchus (white-tufted-ear marmoset), 477 nucleotides long. The record is from RefSeq and is a predicted model, not a curated record. Lineage: Eukaryota; Metazoa; Chordata; Mammalia; Primates; Cebidae.
GGGGAAUCUGUUUAUUAGAAUAUAAAAUAAAACGUGCAAACACAAGAGAAGUAGAAGGUAUGGGUGACAGGUAGAGUGAGAGCUGAAGUCAGGACUGGGGAGCUGGAGAAGGAAAUGAGGCCUGAAGAAACUUUAGUGGCUGAAGCCAGCAAAUCUUGUGUAGGUAGGAUUUCCACGAACUGUCCUGAAAUUUCCAAGACAAGGAGACAUCUAUCGAGUAGAAGACAAAAAGGAAUGUUGACCAGGGAGGCCUGGCAGUGGAUGUGGUCUAGGAGGAAGCUUGGAAUUUUCUUACUCUGGAUCGUGGAACCACAAAGUCAGCCUGGAGUUGCCUAGAUCUGGACACCUAGGCUCCUGCCAGAGCUAGUUCAUCAUUCCCAGUCACUCAUUAGUGGGAUUCUCCUCUCCCUGGGGCAUUAUGAGGCAGGUUCCAUCUCUAGUCCUGUGUGCUUGUUUUAGGCAGGAAGAACAUGACUC